This is a long non-coding RNA of Equus caballus (horse), 6959 nucleotides long. NCBI's taxonomy places the organism in Eukaryota, Metazoa, Chordata, Mammalia, Perissodactyla, Equidae. The record is from Ensembl.
GGUGCAGAGCAAAACCACUAGCUGGUGGACAUUCACGUGAGAAAGAAAGACACCUUUGUUCUGUAGGCUGCUGGGAUUUGGUGGUUCUUUGUUACCAAAGCACAAGAGUCUGUGCUCAUGGAUUCCAAGGAUGAGAAGGAAAAAUUGGGUAGGAAUACGCUUUUAUUUCCAGCUGAUCAAAGUUUCAGACAUGGUAUUGGGACUUACAGACAACCCAUGAAGGGGGGCAUGUCACUUCCAUUGCUUUUUGUAGAGUCCCUAAGCAGAUGUCUCAUCAAUAGCCACUCUAUUCAAAGCUCAGUGACAUUCUUAAACUUGUUCUUUCUUCAGCACAGCUCUUUGAUGAUGCGGGGUCGGUGAGCCGAGGAGUCGAAAGAAAGAUUUCUUAGACUCUCAAGAUCUGGCAGUAGUGCUCUUUUAUUUAGAGAAUAGUGUAGCAUGGGGACAGGACCCAUGGGCAGUCAGAGCUUCUGCUGCUGCCGCUUCUGCUGCCCCCGCUGGCAUGGGGACAGAGCCCAUGGGCAGGCAGAGCCGCUGCUGCUGCCCCCGCUGGCAUGGGGACGGAGCCCAUGGGCAGGCAGAGCCGCUGCUGCUGCCCCCGCUGGCAUGGGGACGGAGCCCCUGGGCAGGCAGAGCUGGUGCAUGGGGACAGGACCCACGGGCAGUCAGAGCUCCUGCUGCUGCUUCUGCUGCCCCCGCUGGCAUGGGGACAGGACCCAUGGGCAGGCAGAGCUGGUGCGUGGGGACAGGACCCACGAGCAGUCAGAGCUCCUGCUGCUGCUGCGGCUGCUGCUGCCCCCGCUGGCAUGGGGGCAGGACCCAUGGGCAGGCAGAGCUGGUGCGUGGGGACAGGACCCACGGGCAGUCAGAGCUCCUGCUGCUGCCCCGAGUUGAGGGUUAGGGCUAAAUUUAAGGCAUAGGUAUGUGAGUCAUCUCUUUACGAAGACAAAGGAAAGAACAUGAAAAAAAGUUAAAAUGGUAUCAGUGCAGGUGGGGUCUGGUCGUUGGGUGAUCCCAUGACUUUUAGACAAGAAUCAAAUCGGAUUAAGUAAAGGUUAGAAAGGUUAGACGCCACCACCCUAAACCAGUUACAUGAGAUUGCCAGACAGCAACCAACUUAAGUUCUUGCCUUCCCCAUUAAGAGCUUCUAGGGACAAGGUCAUCUCUCCUCUUCUUCCUGGUACAGAGAGGGAGGCACCUUUUACAGAUAGAGAUUUACCUUACAAAUGUAAAUGUGUCCCAACAAGGGCAAGUUCCAUUCCCCAGAGCCUCCUUCCCUGUCCCAGUUUAUCGAAAGCAAUCAGCCCAAAACAAUCCUGAUGCCAAAGAGACAUAUCCUGGGGUGGCCAAUUUCGGGUCCCUACAAGGUCACCCCCCCUUCCUUCACAAACGCAAAUGUCUCUCAGAAGGGCAAGCAAAAUUCCAGUCCUCGGAGCCUGCUCCUCAUCUGUAGUUUUAAAAGUAACCAGCCUAAAAUCCUCAUCACUAAUAACAUUCAAAUUAAUUUGAUAUGACAAACACUCUUUUUUUUUGAGGAAGAUUAGCCCUGAGCUAACAUCCCUUGCCAAUCCUCUUCUUUUGGCUGAGGAAGAUUGGCCUUGAGCUAAUGUCUGUGCCCAUCUUCCUCUAUUUUAUAUGAGAUGCCUGCCACAGCAUGGCUUGAUAAACAGCGCGUAGGUCCAUGGCUGGGAUUCGAACCAGUGAACACUGGGCUGCUGAAACGGAGCAACUUAACAGCUGGACCACCAGGCUGGCCCCCACAAACACUUUUAAUGAAUUGCUAAAAUUGAGUUUAACAGUAUAAUAAUGUGCUUGGACAUUUUCUAUUUUACUUGUGGUUAACUUGAUUCCUUACAUUUUGCUUUGCGUGGACCUGGACCAUCUUCUAAGUCAUUAACACUGUUGAUAUUUUCUCUUUUUAACAGUAAGCUGUUUUUAAACUACUCUUACAUUUAUUUUAAUGACCCCAUCGUUUCAAUAGUUGUGCUCCAAAUUAUAAUGCUGAAAAAGAUUUAACAAAAUAUUCUUCGCAUUCUUACUACCAUGCUUACUGGUAAUCAUGGUUUGCAAGUUGGUAUGUGUAGAGAUAGAAGGAGCGUAGUAUAUCUAUUCUAGGUAUAUAUAUGGGUUAUGAUAAUGUCAGUCCUUUCGAGUAGAGCUUGCUUAUGCGACUGUGUGUGCUUUCAUCACUCAAUUUUCCUUCACUGAAUUCUACUCAUUUCUAUUUGAAAUACUCUGAUAACAUUGUUUUCACAUUUUUCAUUUAUUAAAUACUCAUUAACACAUGAAGGUUGCCUCUAUUUUUUACCCACUAACCCAAGAUAAUUAAGAUAACAUAAUAUUCUGUUGCAUUUGUUGAUACAUCAUGGCAAAUCAAAGUCUAAAUUUAUUAAAUAAUAAGCAAACCUCUUACUCAAUGAAAAUGUUUUCCAGUUGUAAAUUAUCACUGCAAAAGAAAAGUGUAGCUUUUCUAUCUGGGGGCGUAUUUAACUCUGCGUGCAAGGUCAGAUAUGGAGUGUUUGCUGUCAUUUGCACAUUAGGACGAUGUCUAUUAUUGAAAGAUUUCUUGGGGCUAAAAUUCCAAUCAUGUAAGUUAGUAUUUGUUCACACUGGUAGCUUUGUCCCUUUGUCCUUCAUUGCCAAGCAACCAAAGAAAGUGGUUAGGUACCCUUAAGAGUAUGGUAUAAACCUACUAGGCUUUGUUGUAUUUGAAUUAUGCCUAGGAAAUUUCAUAUGUGAACAAAAUUAUUAUGGUUACAACUUAAUUAGCACAUCACAUAUGCCAGAAACUUUACCUACAUUAUUUUAUUUAACCCUCACUUUUACUUAUGAGGGUUAAAUCCAAGAUCAACAUCUUUCUAGAUAUUUUAUGUUCAAAAGUAUUUAACAAGGCUUAGGAUCCCAGUGAACCAAUGUAGAGGAUGCUAUAGUGUGCCACCAGGUCCCCUUUCAAGACUCAGGCACUCAUUUCCCCAGCUGCUGGGGCUGAAAGAAGUUCUGCUUUUUUCUUAACCCGGUGCGUCUUAACUGAGAGUGAUUUUACCUCCCCCACCCACACCCCCACCAGGUGGAUAAUUGGGAAAGUCUGCAGACUUUUUUGAUUGUUGUAAAUGGGGGAAAGGUUUGCUACUGGCAUCUAGUGGGUAAAGGCCAGCAUACUGCUAAACUCCCUACAACGCACAGGACAUUCCCCUACAUCAAAGAAUUAUUUUGUCCAAAUAGCCAUAGUGCUGAAGUUGAGAAAUCCUGGCUUAAAACCACAGGUCUUGUUCCUGUUAGCCUUUCCUGAUAAAAUUCUUGCACUCAAUUCUGAGUUUCAGAAUCUUAGAAUCAGAUAUAAGCCAACUUAUAUCAGAGAACUGUGAAGCAAUUCCAGUGCCCUGGUUAGUAUUUGUGUUUACGCUAUCACUGGCAUCCUGUGUUUUAAGAGCAUCUGGCUGGUAAGGAAGAAGUUUGCUAUUCUAAUAUGUAUUGGUAUUUCCUAGAAGCUAAUCAAAAUAAACCAGUAAAAGACUCAAUCAGAAAGUAAUGAUACACAUGAAGACCCUGAGUGCAUUACUUAUGUGACUUUGAAACCUUAGGAGAAUAAAUUCUGUUAAAGAUUAUUGGGGAGGAAAGUGUUUUAAAUACCUUUGCUCAUAAAGAAGGAUAAAUGAGGAGAAAAGACUCUUCAUCGUCAAUGAAACUAGCAACUAAAAUAACUCUUUAGUCCAAACCACUGGAGAAUUUGUGCCAAAGCCAAAGGAGGGAGGACACUGACUGCAGAUAAUUUCUUUUUCAAAUCUUUCAGCGUAUACAAGGGGAAAAUCGCUUAUUAUCUGGCUCUGAAGAGACUGGCCAUGAAUCUCCUACUUGGGAUGGCAAAGUCUGAGGCUGUGCAUGGCCUGUAUGAGAGACCUUGGGCCAAUUUCUGUAUUGCAGAGUGACACAGAUGACAAGACAGAGAAACUAUGCAAACAACUCAACUUUAAAAGAAGCAGGAGGCCAAUGGGUUAACAAAGAGGAAAGACAGUGGUAGCAAUCAACCUGACAACUGUUGUUGAGAAGAAAUAAAAAAGUUAAAUCAUUACAACUACCUUCUUCCUGCAAAGAAAUAAAAAUAGAAUUCCAUAACAUAUAGCUCUCCACAGUAAGCCAAGAGACCUACUGCUCACCCUGAGUGAAGAGUGUGUAUAUGUUUAUACCACACUGAUUGCUGAGAACACAAUCAACGUCCUCACUGGUGUGGACACAGAGUGGUGACACGUCCCAGGGCAGAAUAUACAGUAGAGUUGAGGAGAGUGUUCUGAGGCAAUAUACCUGAAUUUAAGCUGCUCGCUAUCCAUCUCACUCUCCCUUUCUUCCUAAUACUAGUUUUCAGGUAUUGACUAAUCAAGAAAGAAUAGCUCCUGUCCAAAAAAACUAAUAAUCAGAAAUUAACUAAGAUAUGAACGCAACAUUGGAAGUAGGGCAAAGGGCCAAAUAUUUUUCUCUAUGAAGUUUUCUUUUUUAUUCGGGAAGGGAAGCCUUUCCCAAGAACUCGUGUCUACGCUUAUUGGCAGAGAAGGGUCACGUGUCUACCACUACCUGUAAAGGAAGCUGCGAAGUUAAGUAUUUUACUUCAAACCUCCGUACUAAUGGAAGUUGAGGGAGAAGGAGGUUGGAACAAGUAUAUGUCUGCCAUACAACUCCAAACAAGACAUGGCUGGGAUCAAAUCUCAGCCCUGCCAUUUACUAGCUUUGUGACAUUGGACAAGUCACUUAACCCCUCUGUGUCUUAGUUUCUCCUUCUUUAAAAUAAGGAUGGUGUUAUUAAGAGUACCUAAUUCAGAGGGUUAUGGUCAAGAUUAAAUGAAUUAUUGCAUAGAAAGCACUUAAAACAGUACGUGGCAUACACUGUUAGGUGUUAGUUAUUGUUAUCUGGACUCUAAGGAACUCUUUGACACUCAAAUAUUGUAAUUCCAUAAAUAUUUGUUUGAUGAUAACAGAUAGAAUUUACAAGAAUUACAAAUAAUUUAGCUUUGCGGUUAGAUCAUCUGCUUAAAAAUAUUAAAAUGUUCACUUCUCAUAGACAUGAACCAGUGCCAAUAAAUACUUUCAUUGGCUUAAAAGUGUUUUUAUUAGAAAAGAAAUAUGACUUGUGUAGUUGGACGAAACUUCCAGCAAGAGGGCUAGUGAACAUUGAAUGAUUAUAAGGAUUUAACUUUACUUUAAAAACAUCUGGAAAGAAUCUCUUAAGGGAGUUGUUCUACCUUAUUUUCUUUCAAGUUUAUAAACUAUAUUUAAGUUUUCCUAAGGAAGUAGCAAUGUGUCCUGAGGGGAAUUGUCACAGCUCCCUUCCCCAUCAGCCAAAGUUAACUCACCACGAACUGCAAAUUUAUAAAGACUCUCUUUGUCCUAUGACCUAAAACUAAGGUUUAUCCUAAAGAAAGAAGUCAGCUAAUAAAUAGAAAGGAGAGUUCAUUCUGACUGAGAACUUACUGAUGACUAAAAUGAAGGCUUGUAUCUGGGCUAAAAUUUUAUCUUUGAAAGUGCUUAUAGUUUACUGAGAGGAGAGGGUAAUUCACAAAUAACAUAACAAUUGCAGUUAAAGUCUUAAAAGAAAAGAGGAAUAUUGAUAGGCAUGCUUUGAGAAGGAGAGAGUACAUGCUAUGGGAUGAUCAAAGAAGGUGGUAAGGAGAUGACAUUUGAGCUUAUUAUUAAUGGAUAAAGCUGGUUUGGGACAGGUAGCAUUGGGAGGAUGGGUCUUUGUGGCAGAGGGAAAGAAGGAGCAGGCACCGGGGAGGAAAUUGUAAGACAGAUACUGCACCAAACAAUGGGAACAGAUAGAGUCAUGAGUGAGCCAUGAGCAAUUCUUCUCUCAGGGAGAUUCCCUUUCCAUAGAAAAGACAGAAAAUAAGUAAGAAGACAACUAAACACAUAAACAGAAUGAGGGUUGUGAAGCAAAUAAAGUAGGGUAAUGGAAAAGAUGGUGACUGGGACAGGUCCAAGCUGGGGCAGAGGUGGAAGGUGCAAUUUUAUAUAGGGUUGCCAUCACAUCAGCCUUUCUGAGAAGGGGACAUACGAGAAAAGACCUGAAAGAAUUGAAAACUGAAGAUCUGAACUUCCGAGUUAAAGGGAAGAGCAAGUGUAAGAGCUUUGAAAUGAGAAAAGCAGGAAUACCUGUGGUUCUGGAACACAGUGAAUGAGAAGCAUGGUAGAAGAUGAGGUUAGAGAGGGAGGCAGGAUCCAGAUUACCCAGGCCAAGUAAGCCUAGAUAGGGCUGGAUUUUAUUCUAAGUGUAAUGGGAAACUGCUGAAGAAUUUAAAGAAGAAAGCAAUAUGACCUGAUUUCCAUUAGUAAUAAUCGUAAAAAUCACCUUGCCCUCCUGUAGAAUGGGGGUAAGAAGGGUAACAAGGAGUCUGUGCAAAAGACAGUGCUGCAUUGGUUGAAGGCAGAUCUAGGUUCCAUAUGCUACGGGUACUGACAGGUCACAAGGAUCAAGAUUGGUAGGAUACCUGCUGUGCCAGGUGUUAAUCCUUGAGUUUCUACUUCAAGAACAGUCAUAGGGGGUGUCAGAGGAGGGCUCAGAGUGGCUGGCAGGGGCACCUGGCAGGCUCAGUGGAAUGGCUAAGAGGAUAUCUACUGGCCGGUGAGAAAUGGUUCAAUAUUUUCAUGACCAGUACAGCUGUAGAUGUCUUUCCUGGCUAUCUCAGCCCUGGUCUUGGGUGGAGGUUGUGGAGAUGGUGAGAAGUGGUCAGACUCAGGACUUACUCUGAAGAUAGAAAAUAAAAAUAGGCUUGCUCAUGAAUCUUGUAAAUAGGACUUACACCUUACAAAGGUAAGUGUGGUAAGACUUGGUGCUUAACAUUUGUUAUGAAUUCUUCUAAAAUAUAAUGCUUCACUUUAUAGUUUCAGUAAAGAAAAUAAUUUAAAAAAUAGUUUUCCUUUGCUGAUCUGAAUGUCUUACAAGGCUUCAGGAUUAUUUUCAUUGGAUAAUC